RNAcentral lists this long non-coding RNA (12151 nucleotides) under Setaria italica (foxtail millet). RNAcentral's name for it is "long non-coding RNA (SITA_LNC004866)". Lineage: Eukaryota; Viridiplantae; Streptophyta; Magnoliopsida; Poales; Poaceae. The record is from RNAcentral.
UAGGAACUUGAACCGCACAGUGUCACCAUUGUAGGUAGCCUUGACUGUCAACGCCGGGCUGCUUCUGUCUUUGAUGACAUAUCCCGGAUUCCCCUUGAAAGUAGGCUGACUUGAUGCACUGCCGCUGGAGGAAUCAGUCAUACCGGAGGUGGAAGGAUGGGUGUGCUCCUUGGUGUCAUGACCGUCAACCAUAGUCACAUCUGCUUGCUGUACAAAUGAUGAGUUCCUUCCCAUUGUUUGGUCAUCGAUGCUUGGGUGGAGAGAAGUUGGAGAAUUAGUGUAACCUGUUUCUCCGAUACGUAAAGAAUUAACAACAAUGGGAUAUAAUGGUCCUUGUGCAUCUUCAGAGUUUGAAUGUGGUGUGAACUUUGCAACAUCAGGAGCAUAGUUUCUACUGCCAUUGUUGUUGUUUGCUAACAUUCGAACUUCAUCACCUUCCCCUUCCCUUUUGGAUAUGUUGGAAACGUGAAAUUGGCAGUCUCCUCUUUGCCAUCCAUCAGGUGAAGAGAAACCUUGUUCUGAUUUCGGGCUAGAUUUUUCCUCCAUUGUUUUUCCAACAGAUGAAGUAGGCAAUGAAUCACAAGCAGAGAAUGGCAUCUUAUCUGGAAGAGAGGCUGCUGGAACAAGGGACCCAGUAGCAGGAUCAUACUGCAAGGAUCUAUCCACACCAUGAACUGAGUUAAUGACUGUCUGGAUCUUCUUCAAGGAACGAUUGACCUUGUUUAUCUUUCGAGAUGGCCAUCGCGAAAUUCCAUGUUGUCUGCAAAUCCGUUUCAAAGUCGUAGGACAAACUGCGAUGGUGUUUAUAGGCAAGUGUCAGAAGUUAUUUGUUUCAUAAUCUCCUCCUAUAUACAUAAGCUAAGAAACUCUGCUAUGUGAAUAUCACAACACGUUUAUAUUCAAUCGAGAUUCAAUAGAUACAGUAGGGGCUCACCACCGAGGCUCAUUGAAGCUUCCCUCAGGCUCCCAGAAAAGUAUUUGCGAAGAACAUCCAAACUAAAAUUCUUCUCGGAUGUACUGCGUUUUUUCUCUGCAACUCGCAUCGAGCUAGCCUGUGCCUGCAGCGAGGAACAAAGUUCUUCAUCAACAGGGUAAAAUAACAAAAUUUCUGUUAUCAUUUUAAAAUUAAAUGAACCCAUCAGCAUUUACUCUUAUGAAAACUGAAUGCAGUCCACCUUGAAAAGGCUUACAAGACAUGCCACAAGACAUCCAAUUCGUUUAGGCGCUACUGACUAAGUGUCUAAAAAGCUAGUGAAUGAUUGGAUGUAAUGGUAUAUUUAUAAUUAUAAUAAUGCGGCACCUGGUCAGAUUCUAUAUCUUGUUCUUGCUUGUCAGCCAAAGAUAGAUCCUGGAAUGCAGAUUCUGUAAUUGGCUGGUCAUCAUGUGAGGAACUUUCAGAGUUACCAGUUGGCAAACUUCCAUUACUCUUCUUAUUCAUUGAUGCAGCAGAAGCACUAACACUAUCAGCCUCAGCUUCAGAAACUGUUCGCAAGCUUUUGCAUAUUCUUUGCAUUGUGCUGGAAAGGUUGUUUAAUAACAUCUGCUGCUCUCCACAGCCCUUGCAGUUGACUGGGAGAAAAAAUUCUAGAAUGUAGUCAUCGUUACCAGUAUACGUGCUCCUCAGCCGGAUGGCUACAGCAGCAUGCAGGCCAAACUUACGAGCAUGGUGUGCAAGCGGGUAGUCUUCGAUAUUGUACUCUCUUACAUCAGGAGAGAAGAAUGGCAGAUUGGAUUUAAGUGCUCGACCAGCAAUACCCUGCCCUUUCUCAAGAUGACGUUCAGCACAUGCAUGAAGAAACCCCUGCAUCUUUGCAUCGUUAAUAUAACAAGCUGAUUCAUGGAUACGAAGUACUGUUUUUCCUGAUUGUGAAUCAACUCCAAUAUUAUUUCUGACACAAUAACCAUUAUCAAUACCGUUUGAUGUAGGAACCCAUGUAAGGGCCAAUGGAAGCAUGUGUGCAUGACAAAUAGCUCUUAGAACAUCCAAAAUCUCAAUGAAAGCAGAUUUCUGAUUUUCAGAGUAAACCUGCAUAUGAGGAGAGUGCAUGCUUGAACAUCAAUAGUUAAAUAGUUCAAGACAACAGCAAGAGAGAUGUUUACAUGGAGCAUGUUAGAAGUGAAGAGUGGCACCUUCUGACUGCUGCGAUCUGUUGCUGUCUGCAAGUUCACAGCCUACAGAAAAGCGACGGGAUAAGUAUAAAGUAUAUGCUAGGUUCAGUGCUAAGUGUAAAACAAAAUGCUUUGCCUCGCCAAUUGACAACAUACAGGUGAACUAAAAUUUUGACAGAAUCUAUUGCCUACUAUUAUAUAUAAAUAAAAGUAAUAGUGACAAAUGAAGAAAACAGAUUGCAACAAGAAUAAAUGUCAUAUAAAAAUAAAUAGAGCUCCUUUUGUUACUCAUGAGUACUUCAACUUAACAUUAAGCAUUGAUGUCACUAAAGUAAAUAUCCCUAGUCUAGAACAAGUUAGAACUUGCCUGCAAUGCAUUGCAAACACUGUCCAUCUCUGCAUCAAAAUCAGGCUUCUCCUUGUUUGUGACAAGUUCAAGAACCGCACAACAAGAUCCCUUGCUGGGGUCAUAAAUUGGCAUAGCAAGCGACCCACGUAUUUCAUGACGAAGAGCAUGGUCCAUUCUCAAAUACUCCGGCUUACUGUAAUAGAGAACACUCGAGGUCCACUCUGGCACCCCAGAUAUGAAGACCCUCCCUGGAAGCCCUAGGUGCAGGCCAGGCUCCUCCUUUACUGAAAACAGGAAAUUCCUAGACACUUCUCUGUAACCUGCAAGAUCCUGGUCAAGUAGAAAAGGCUGCUCAAAUGUACUCAGCACGAUACGACCAUUGUGCUCAAUAGGCAUCCAGACUUGGGCGAGAACACCAUCACUCAAUGAUUUCCUGAACAAAGACAGCGCCAUGAGCAUCUUGUCUGCAAGAACGUUGCCCACAGACCUCGGAAUGAUGUUAGUCCCUUGCUGUGAACCAUUAUUUGGAACAAGCUCAUCUGAAACUUUUAGCUCUCUGUUCACUCCAGUUGGACCCAACGCCGAUGCCGAAUUGAUCCUUUGAGCAGGUGCUGCUGUCAUGUCCACAGGUUCAGAAUAGGUGUCAAACGGCAUGUCUUCUCUCACAGCAGAAGUACACGGAGACGAUCCCAAGGAUGACCACAUAGCAAACAUCUGUUGUGCAGCUGAGGGGUCAUUCAGCAUCGAGAAUAUCUGAUCAGCAACUGAAGGGCUGCAGACCUCCGAGUAUCCAUCAAAGUUCAUCAUGGCAGCAACACCAAAGGGAUCAUCUGAAGGCCCCAUGGGGCUGAACAGAAAAAUUGAGAUAUUGAAACACUCCGUAGAGCUUAAUCAACAACCACAUUUCAGUAUGAGGCAACUAUAUGCAAAAUAUUUAGACUUCACUGUUUGGGAGAAAGAUAUUAGUUACUUCAGUUUUGUAUAUACCUUACAUACUCGUGACCCCAUGAUCCGAUAUCACCUUCAGAGCCUAAUAACCGGUACUUCAGACUCUCCUGAAAUGUGGGAAAUAAAAUUUUAGGACCUGAGGUCAAGUGGAGUUCCCCACUAAAGAAGAACAGUUCAUCUACUACAGUGAGGGAGAUGAUCAUCACAGCAGGCACAUACCCUUUCUCCCUCAACGGACAUUGUCAAAGCUAACACCGAUAGAAUGUCCGCCAUGUAUUUCUGCGAUACAGUAAGGCAGCAUCAGUACUGUAUGAAAUGUAUUUCUGCGAUACAGUAAGGCAGCAUCAGUACUGUAUGAAACCAAUCUAAAUCACAGCACAACUUGGUGAUCAGCACUUUGCAUGUACCUUCAGCUCAGACUCCGGCAUGGUCUCAAAGUAGGACUUGAGGGCUCCAUAGUGCGGGCGGAGAAAUUUGAGCGGCUUCGGAACGGAAGUCAUUGAGCUCGUGGCAGAUCGGAUUUCCUGUCUGAAAUGGGUCACAGCAGUACUCAGCAAAACACAACCCUAGAACUGAAGAACUGAAUCGGGUGUUGAGUGCAUACCUCAUGCUCUCGAGGGCGAGCUUCUGCACACCGGGAUCGGCGUCCUGCGCGCGCAGGACGUAGAGCUCCAGCUGCUCCUUCAACGCCAAAUCUUCCUCUGGCUGCAGCAUACCAGCAACAUCGAAUACGUGAUUGAGGAGAAACAAGACCACAGAUCGAAAGCAAAUAACAAAAUUCUCGAGGGACGGGCGGACUCACCAGAUCGUCGAUAUCAUCCUUCUUCUUUCCCUUCCCCUUACCCGGCGGCGACGGAGCCAUGGCGGCGGCGAGGGAACUCCGGAGGCGCGGCGGGACUAAUCGGGGAGCGGAGCUGGAAGGGGGGUGCCUUCCUUUUUGGCGGGACUACUCCGGAGGCGCGGCGGGACUAGUUGAGGCGAGAAGAAUGGAAGCAGAGGAGUCCGUCCCCGGUGCCCGUCUUCCCUGCCCCCCUCCCUCCGCAACUAGGAGACGAUGACUCCGCGUGCGCGUGUUGGCUGCUGCGGCGGCGCUUCCGUCACAACCACACAGACCCAGACAGUGGGCCGGCCCAAGGAGCCCAAAUAGCAGUUCGCGUGUGCAAGCGGCCCAAUGCAGCAUUUAACACUAGUGCCUGUGGCCGCAACCGCCAAACGAGAUUUCUCGAGGUGAUACAGGUCCAGGCAGGUGCAAACAGUUUGGUCAUUUCCACACAGAGAGCUACAGCUAGAAUUUAAAACACCCCUUUUAAUUAGUAUCAUUUAGGCGCCAUAGAACCCGUUUUGGUAGGGACUCAGCAAACCAUUUCCCUACAGAAAGUGGAGUUCAUAACAAACAAAACAGACAUUCUAGAGUGAAACAGAAGAAAAUUCAGACGCAAAUUUCUCAGAUUCUACCAAAAAACAGAAGAGCUUGUUUCAUGUAUCCACACUGUGCCGCCCAUCUCCACCAUGAUCCAGCAGGGCUCCUGUGGCCAUCAUCCAGUACCGCAAACCAUAGUUCGGCAAUGCAAACUUUGCUAUCGGCAUGCAAAUGCAACCAACUGUCAUUGUUUUCGGUCACCCGACGCGUAGGAACUAGGAAACGAUUUGUAGAACGCCCAUAAUUUCGGGAUAGCAAACAGAUAUCCAUAACAAUCUCUCGCAAGAAAAGGAUCCAAGCCCAAAGCUUUUUACAAGUUGCUUAGUGCCUUUCUUUGAUGCAUGUUACCAUGCAUGCACCGAUGCGCAUGGAUUUUUUUUUCUUCCGCCAUGAUUCCUCCCAACCAAUGAAGCCACCACACACGGACGGACACACCGAUGGGCCUUACUGUGGGACGAUGGACCCUAUGUUCGUUUUUUUCCCGUAAAUUUUAACGGAAUCUUUUGGUCCUAUUGCUCGGCCGGACGAAGCCGUGGCAGCUCUAGGCUUGGAGUUAUUCACCCCUAAUUGUUGGUUUUGUUUCUUUCCUACCCCCCCCCCCCCACUCCCUCCCUCUCUAAAUAAAAUAAAAGUUGUUAGUUUAGCAUUCAAAAAACCUACUUUAAGGCAGCUUUAAGGUAUUGGUACUACAAUUAAAAUGGCUUGAAUCCUUAGUUAAUUUCAGUGCUAACAAAUGCAUCCCAUGUCCUGUGUGGAAGGCUACAUGGGAAGCUACAGUAAAGUGUAUCAGACAAGUCAGCACAAAGGACUAGAAAUCCUUUUGAAGAUGCAGGCUGCAGUACAGCAUCAAAGCUGCGGCCCGUGGUACUGGUGGUACGUACCUGAUCGAUCGACGCGGCAGAAUAUAAAAUCCAAUUUCAGUAGACCGGUAGCCCUGUACUUUUUAGUACCCACAGUGUUACCCUUUUUGUCUGAUCAGUUCGGUAGUAGUAUAUAUCAAGCUAAGCAUCUUGAAACUUCAGAAGUGGACGAAACGUGCACCAAUGAACUCUCUCUUUCCUUCGGUUGAUCAUUCAACUAGUUUUCAUGCUUGCAAAUACUUGUGAGCCAAAACCAGGCACUUGAUGUGUAUACAACCAACUUCUGAAGCUCAACAUGCUGAAAGAGUGGCAUGUCCGUAUGGUUGGCGAUAAGAGGGGAACAGGAUGAGUAUAGAAAAAAAAGCCUCCCGCUCUGUUCCGACCGUGCGUGGAGCACGUAGGUACAUGCAUUACUAUGUGCAUGAUGAUUCGAAAUACAAAUAAAAGGAAGAGUUGGAUAACAAUUCAAAGCUGCUUUGAGCUACUCCUCUGUUUCAAAAUGUAUGUUGUUUUAGCUUUUCUAGUUCAUAAAUAUUAUUAUGCAUCUAGAUAUAGUGCAUGUGUAGGUGCAUAAUAGUAUCUAUGAAUUAAAAAAGUCAAAACGACAUACAAUUUGGAACCGAGGGAGUACUAAGUAAUAAGAAGAAGCCAAAUUAAGCUAAAAGCAACAUGCUGAGAAACCGCCGUCCACUGUACGUCUAUAUAUAUAUAUAUAUAUAUAUUCGACUACUCGUACUACUACUGAUUAACCUUUUCUUAAAAAAAAUCUGAUAGAAAAGUUUGGAGCAACGCAUGCCACACGUACACGCCGUCAAGUGCUUUGUUGUAGGUUUGGUGAGGUGAAGGAUGAUCAGGGAUCAAUUAGUAGCAGCUAAGUUCAGGCCAUGCAUGCAUGUCUCCCAGUCUCCAAGAUGUGUGUCCAGCUGCUCCUCUCAUCUUAAACAAACAGGCAGAAACGGCAUUACCUUCCUUUUUCCUUUUUUUCUAACAGUAUUCUUCAACCCAUCUGUUUCCCACCGGUUGAUCGCAACGAUUUCCCGAUCGAUAGAAAUGUCUGGAGCAACACAUGCCACACGUACGAGCUCGAGUGUUUUUCUCCAGUGGCAGUUUAGUAUUGAGACAGUUGCAUGCAAAUGCUACUGCAUGCACACGAACAUGCUUGAAGUUUGAUAAUCUCCCCGGCCAGCGGCCGCAACCAUCAUGAUGGUAGCCAUGCCGGAUCGAUCGCUCGGAGGUCGUAGAAAAUAAACGGGCCGGGGGAGAUUGGGAAAAGUCAUGCAGCUGCUACAACGAAGCAAAGGCAAAGGGGGAAAAGGAGCCAUGAUCGCUGCGACCUCGAUCGCUCGAUGCUUUGGACCUUCAAGUUUUUAGAUAAAAUAUAAGAUGAGCUCGCCACCAGGCAUAUGAAUCCUAUUGCUUCAGUUUUCAGAUAUGUAUAGUCUCUAUAGUCCGGGACGGAUCCAAAGAGGGUCUAGUGGGGGCACAUGCCACUGACUAAGGUUUUCAGAUUUAGACCCUAUUUUGAUAAGCCACAAAGACUUAUACGCUAACAGCAGGUUAAUUAUGUUCCCGCUCAAAUUUUAGACUGAUGCAUUCUUUGUUGUUCCUCCUCUCGUUAGCAAUUUGUGGGCGGAGUUAGCAAUUUGUGGGCGGACCUACCAGACAAGACAGUUCAUCAUCCUGUUUUAGGAAAAAGUCUAUGUAACUCCCAACAUAUGGAUGGUGGCUCACUUCAACCUGAGGUUUUACACCCUAAACUAGUGAAAUUCAUUCAUCUAACCCCCAAAGUGGUUUUGCACCCUGGUUUUGAUGUCUUGCCAUGUUGGAUAGGGAUAACAUCUAAGUUUUUUUGGGCCCACUUGUCGGUUCUUCAUAGACUCACAAAUUAUGCUAAAGUUACAGGAUAUUCGAAGGGUCUUUUUGCAAAGAUGUGGGAGCUUGCUCGUCGCUCCCAUGCCUCACCGGAGCUCCAGCAAGCCGUGGGCGCCAAGAUUGGCGCAGAGAGUAGAGAAGAGGGAGAGGAGGCCGUGGCCCAUGGGUGUGCUCACCAUUCACCAAGGUCAAGCGACGGACGGCGUAUAUGAGCAUCUUGGCGGAAGCUUGAACGGCGGCGGCGGCGUUGGCCCGCCGCUCCGGCGGGGAAUCGACAGCGGAGUGGGACGGAGGAGGUGCGCGGCAACUCGGCAAAGCUCAUGGCGGUGACGCGUUGCUCUAUACCGGAUCAAUGAUGCUGAAUUUUGUGGUGGAAAUCAGCGGUAAGGCUCGUUUUGGGGACGGAUGUCUUCGCAAAUAGCACGUCCAUGCAUGGAUAGAUUGGUCGGCAGGAGGCAAUUUUGUGGGCAGCAUAGCAAGGAGAUUGGUGGGGCUUGUGCAGAUCAUGCAUGCAGAGUGAGGGAGACCGCCACUUUAGCAUGGCAUCGAUCUGGUCAAAAGAUCGGCCGGCGUGGCCUGCCAUGCAGUGCCGAGCCGAGAAGAGGACGCUUUGCCUGGCCGGGAGUCCGGGACCGAGCGAGCCGGUGCGCGUGGAAAUGGGGCCUCAGCUCACCUCAUCAUCCUGCUGGCCGCUGGUCCUGGCAACCUCAUGUGUCGCCAUGGUCGCGAUACCGGUGCAUGGAGAUGGGGGCAGCUGGGGGGCAACCCGAACUUGCAGUAGGUCCGAGCAAUCGAGCUCGCUAUUCCUCUAGCCCAAUCGCCGUGUCUCUAGUUCAGCAGUUCCCUGUCGUCUGCCGCGCUGUCUCGAACUGGUUGGGGGUCUUGGGGACGCUUUGAUUGGAUCAUCGGACGAGCACUGCCUGCCAGGCUGCGGGUGUGGAAGUGGUCAGUGAGGAGACAGCGCCGGCGGUUUGACUGUGUUGGUGGCGUAGUGUGCCUCAAUGCCUGCGCGGCGCGAGUUGCCCCGGGGGGGGGAGGGGGUUUGGCCUUAGGAGGCUUUUUUUAUUUUUACUCGUGGGGGGGAUUUCGGAAACAAGAUGACGUAAUCUACCUCGUAACGCACCAGAGUCUGGGGUUUUUUGCAGAUCAUGUGAACCCCAUUAUACUUAUGUGGGGGGAGGGGGUAGGAGAAGAGCGAAGANNNNNNNNNNNNNNNNNNNNNNNNNNNNNNNNNNNNNNNNNNNNNNNNNNNNNNNNNNNNNNNNNNNNNNNNNNNNNNNNNNNNNNNNNNNNNNNNNNNNGGUAUUACUUGUCUAGCUGGCUCGAAUUUGUGAACCAAGGCCCAGUAUCCACCCCCAAUGCAGCCUAUGUCCGGCCCUUUUGUCUCCGUAACUAAACCAAGUUGUUUACUUGCUUGGUAUGCUGUGUACAAGGCGAAGAAUUUGGUAACCAAAAUGGCAAAUUAUAUUAAAGAAGAAGAACAAGGUCGAUUACAUAUCUGUAACCGAUGGUGGAGCGGCCGUUACUGGCGCAGGGAGGUGUUGCGGCGGUCGUUUCGUGGGAGAGGAAGCGGAGGAGGCGCGUGCAUGCGGGGAAGACGAGCGGGUGCGAGAAGUUGAAGGUGCGUCGGGAGGCGGAGGGGCGCCGGGUCGCCGGGACAGCUCGAGCAGCGCAGGUGUGCGGCGGGAGGCGAGCAAACGCUGGAGGUAGAAGAAACGGCUUACAUCUGGGCCCGCUUUGUCAGCGGAAGGAAGAGAGGGAGAGGGAGAUGGUGGGCCGUCGCGGGAGAUGGGCCGGAAGGGAAUGCUGGACCGGCGGGAGAAAAGGCCGGUGCGGCAUGUUGGGCCGGAAGGGAAACGGUCAGUGUGGGGGAAAGGAGGCCGGCCUGCUGAGGAGAAAGAAAAGGGCGGGGGAGAGGUGGCGGGCCGGGCCGGGAAAAAGGCCGGUAGAAGAUGGGCCGCUGCGGGUCGGGCCCACGGGCUCGGCCCGUUAGAAAGGGUAGGUUUUGAUAAAUAUUUUCAGUGUAAAAACAAAUCCAGAGAACUCAAGAUAAUGUUUUUAAAGCACGAAAAAUAUUUCUGAAAUCCUAAAAAUUCUAGGAAAAAUCCCAGAGAUAUUUUGGGACACAAGGAAUCCAAAUAAAAUAUUUAGAGAUCGUGAAAAAGAUUUUAGAGCCUUCCAAAAAUUAGAUUUAGCUCUAGGAAAAGGAGAAUAAAUUUUAGAAAAAUUGGAAAAUUAGAUUUAGCUCUAGGAAAAGGAAUAUUAUAUCCCAUUGUUGUUGUUAAUUCUUUACGUACCAGAGAAACAUGCUACACUAAUUCUCCAACUUGUCUCCACCCAAGCAUCGAUAGCAUUGAUGACUAAACAAUGAGAAGGAACUCAUCAUUUGUACAGCAAGCAGAUGUGACUAUGGUUGACGGUCAUGACACCAAGGAGCACACCCAUCCUUCCACCUCCAGUAUGACUGAUUCCUCCAGCGGUAGUGCAUCAAGUCAGCCUACUUUCAAGGGUAAUCCGGGAUACGUCAUCAAAGACAGAAGCAGCUCGGUGCUGACAGUCAAGGCUACCUACAAUGGUGACACUGUGCGGUUCAAGUUCCUACCAGCAAUGGGCUGGUAUCACUUACUGGAAGAGAUAGCAAAGAGGUUCAGGCUGACGACAGGGGCAUUCCAGCUCAAGUACAAGGAGGAUAAGGAUGAGUGGGUGAUCCUGGCAAGUGACUCCGAUCUCCAGGAGUGCGUGGAUGUCCUAGACUCAACCAGCUCGUGUAACCUGAAGCUUCAGGUGCGCGACCUCCCGUGUCUGAUCAGCAGCUCGGGCAGCAGCAGCUAUUUGCAUGUGAUAGGACGAGAAACCUAGGGGGCUCACCCCUAAACCGUAGCCUGUUGUAGUAGGUCUAGUAAUCUGUUGCAACCAUAGAGGAUCUGUCUAUGGAAUGCACAAAUGGCUAGAGAAAAAAAGAAAAUAUAAUACUCAUCGCACGGAUCGCAUACAAAGUUGAAACGGUGUCGAAAAGAUCUCGGUGUAAUAUGUUGCUAGUUCCAACUUUCAAGACCUUGACAAUAAUCUGAUGUCAUGACAGCUUAAGAUGAGACAAUGAUUGUAUAUCAAAAUUCAGAGUCCGGGUUUCUUGUAUGCAAUGUGCAAUUGCAUGAUGGAGGAAACCGGUAUUUCUGAACUUCCUGUCUUCCUAUCUCCAAUCUAUUCCUCUCAGAGUUUGAGUUCACUUGAGAAAUAUUUCUGUGCUCUAGAUGGCUGCAGGUUCGGUGGUACCUGUCUACCUAGUGCAUAACCAUGUGGAUACAAAGUGAUUUGGAGUCAGUUUUGAGCAAUCUUUUCUCCGAUCUCCUAGUAGUGAUAGCCUGGUGUCCUGACAUUUUGGCCUUGGUUGCUCGAGAUGCAGGCCGCUUUUCGACCCAGCACGAGUCCGAGUGUGCUGCUCUGAAAGCGUGGAGCAGCUCAUGAGAGAGAGACUGGAUUACUGGGGAGCUUACUGUUUUUAUUGAGGCCCAACACAAGCUGUCCCAGCAAGCUGUCCAACUGGGAAGGAUAACAGCUCACCCUCGCUGUCAGGGGAGAACGGGUGAGCUUGGCGUCGAGUGGUUUCAGUUUAUCGGCUAUCAACGGUACAAGUGCAGAAUGUUUUCGUGGUUCUGAACGGCUAGGCUGUCAGUUUGCGUGAAGCUCGGAAAGGUUUAACCGUGGUGGAGAGAAGAGCCCCCAGGCACUGGAGAGAGACUUUCAGCAUAGUUUGGAUCACUUGUGCAGGAUAUUUUCUGGGAGAUUAGGACUACCAGAUUACUAUCAGUAGCAGCCACUCAGCAUGGCGUUCCUCGUGUGCAGCUUUAUGUAUUACUAUAAUUUCUCUUUUUAGCACUUUCUCAAGAAGGCAUGUUAGGAAGUCUUUUUCUUAAAAAAAAAAAUAAGGAUCAUGCCCGUGCGUUGCUACGGGCAAUAAAAUAUUUAUAUUGAAAUACACAUAGCAACCUGCUGCAGUAAUCCAAAACAAGACAUUCCAACAUUACAGUCAUGGGUCAUCUAUGGUUGCAAUAGAUUACUAGACCUACUACAACAGGCUACGGUUUAGGGGUGAGCCCCCUAGGUUUCUCGUCUUGUCACCUACAAACAGCUGUUGCUGCCUGAGCUGCUGAUGAGGCACGAGAGGUCACGCACCUGAAGCUUCAGGUUAUGCGAGCCGAUUGAGUCCAGGACAUCCACGCAUUCUCGUCAUCCUUGCACUUAAAUUGGAAUGCCCGUGUCGUCAACCUGAACCUCUUUGCUAUCUCUUCCAAUAAGUGAUACCAGCCCAUUAAUGGUAGGAACUUGAACUGCGUAGUGUCACCAUUGUAGGUAGCUUUGACUGUGAGCGUCGGGCCGCUUCUGUCUUUGAUGACGUAUCCCGAAUUUUCCUUGAAAGUAGGCUGACUUGAUGCACUGCCGCUGGAGGAAUCAGUCAUAACGGAGGUGGAAGGAUGGGUGUGCUCCUUGGUGUCAUGACCGUCAACCAUAGUCACAUCUGCUUGCUGUACAAAUGAUGAGUUCCUUCCCAUUGUUUGGUCAUCGAUGCUUGGGUGGAGAGAAGUUGGAGAAUUA